This 481-nucleotide ribosomal RNA is filed under the name uncultured bacterium. RNAcentral's name for it is "partial 16S ribosomal RNA". It matches the Rfam family "Bacterial small subunit ribosomal RNA", at positions 28 to 507 of the family's 1533-position model. The record is from RNAcentral.
GACGAACGUUGGCGGCGUGCUUAAUACAUGCAAGUCAACUGAAGCAGUGGUAGCAAUAUCGCUGUGGAGGUGGCGCACGGGUGAGUGACACGUAGGUAAUCUGCCUUCAGGUCUGGCAUAACUCCGGGAAACCGGGGCUAAUAGAAGAUGAUGCAGCGGCUCGACAUCGAGACAGUUGUUAAAGCUAUGGCGCCUGAAGAUGAGCCUGCGUCUGAUUAGCUAGUUGGCGGGGUAACGGCCCACCAAGGCAACGAUCAGUAGCUGGUCUGAGAGGAUGAUCAGCCACACUGGAACUGAGACACGGUCCAGACUCCUACGGGAGGCAGCAGUAAGGAAUAUUGCUCAAUGGGAGAAAUCCUGAAGCAGCAACGCCGCGUGAGGGACGAAGGGCUUUUGCUUGUAAACCUCUGUAGUGAGAGAAAAAAAUCCCAAUCUUUGGGACAUGAUGGUAUCUCAAAAGUAAGCCCCGGCUAACUACGUG